This 862-nucleotide ribosomal RNA is filed under the name uncultured bacterium. RNAcentral's name for it is "bacterial SSU rRNA". It matches the Rfam family "Bacterial small subunit ribosomal RNA", at positions 8 to 917 of the family's 1533-position model. The record is from RNAcentral.
AGAGUUUGAUCCUGGCUCAGAACGAACGCUGGCGGCAGGCCUAAUACAUGCAAGUCGAGCGCGCCCUUCGGGGUGAGCGGCGGACGGGUGAGUAACGCGUGGGAAUAUGCCCUUCUCUAAGGAAUAGCCUCUGGAAACGGAGAGUAAUACCUUAUACGCCCUUCGGGGGAAAGAUUUAUCGGAGAGGGAUUAGCCCGCGUUAGAUUAGGUAGUUGGUGGGGUAAUGGCCUACCAAGCCUACGAUCUAUAGCUGGUUUGAGAGGAUGAUCAGCCACACUGGGACUGAGACACGGCCCAGACUCCUACGGGAGGCAGCAGUAGGGAAUCUUAGACAAUGGGGGCAACCCUGAUCUAGCCAUGCCGCGUGUGUGAUGAAGGCCCUAGGGUCGUAAAGCACUUUCGCCAGAGAUGAUAAUGACAGUAUCUGGUAAAGAAACCCCGGCUAACUCCGUGCCAGCAGCCGCGGUAAUACGGAGGGGGUUAGCGUUGUUCGGAAUUACUGGGCGUAAAGCGUACGUAGGCGGAUUAAUAAGUUAGAGGUGAAAUCCCAGGGCUCAACCCUGGAACUGCCUUUAAAACUGUUAGUCUUGAGAUCGAGAGAGGUGAGUGGAAUUCCAAGUGUAGAGGUGAAAUUCGUAGAUAUUUGGAGGAACACCAGUGGCGAAGGCGGCUCACUGGCUCGAUACUGACGCUGAGGUACGAAAGUGUGGGGAGCAAACAGGAUUAGAUACCCUGGUAGUCCACACCGUAAACGAUGAAUGCCAGACGUCAGCAAGCAUGCUUGUUGGUGUCACACCUAACGGAUUAAGCAUUCCGCCUGGGGAGUACGGUCGCAAGAUUAAAACUCAAAGGAAUUGACGGG